This 330-nucleotide long non-coding RNA is filed under the name Helianthus annuus (common sunflower). RNAcentral's name for it is "sRNA HanXRQr2_Chr01g0022321". Lineage: Eukaryota; Viridiplantae; Streptophyta; Magnoliopsida; Asterales; Asteraceae. The record is from RNAcentral.
UCAUCAUCUUCAAACAACAACAAUCUGAGUUAUCCCCUUCCACCCAUCUUAUUCUCAUCCAAUCUCUAAACCCUAGCCACCCUUAGGGGCGCCGGCGGCGGCGUUUAUGGUGGUACCAAUCCGGUUGUUCUUGAAUCUGAGCAAAGCAAAGGUGCGGCGGCUGAGUUAGGGGCGACGGCGGUGGAUGAGUUGAUGGUGGUGUUCUUGAAUCUGAGAUUUAGGUGAGAUGAUGUUGAUGGAUGAGAUGAUUUAGUUUGAUUUAAGUUCUUCAAUGUUUGGUGGUUGUAUAGAUCUGAAACAAAUGAUGAGAUGAUGUUGGUGGUGGUUAUG